AUGCCAGAAUUUGGCAGAAGAGCAAGGCUGGGUCCUCUCCAGCAUCCCACAGCUCUUCCCUGCAAGGGGAAUUUCCAGAUGAUUCUCAUUUUAUACAAGAAAGCAAUUCAAUCCAAAAUAACGCUGGGUUGUUCUCUGCUCACAUGCAUCCUACAAGCUUUCAUUCUUUGCAGAGAAAUGAAGAUGACCGCAGGGCAGGAAAAAUACAACUGCAGUGCUGGAGUCUCAGCUAAGGUGGGGAAUCUGUCAGAUGGGAAAUGUGACUGCACUGACAGACAAGCCUGUGAACCUGCUUGGUGAAGGCGCUUUAUAAACUCCUGCUAGAGGCAUGUGGCUCCAGACACUGACCAGUGUGAUCCAACCUUUGGUUGGAUGCAGACUGUGCAGUAAGAGAAGCACUGAGUGCAAGUGUACGAAUAGAUGUGCAAUUGCAUGUGUCCAAAAUAAA
Molecule: long non-coding RNA, 448 nt
Filed under: Numida meleagris (helmeted guineafowl)
Lineage: Eukaryota; Metazoa; Chordata; Aves; Galliformes; Numididae
Description: lncRNA (ENSNMEG00000010380.1)
Source: RNAcentral